RNAcentral lists this ribosomal RNA (501 nucleotides) under uncultured bacterium. RNAcentral's name for it is "partial 16S ribosomal RNA". It matches the Rfam family "Bacterial small subunit ribosomal RNA", at positions 30 to 523 of the family's 1533-position model. The record is from RNAcentral.
AUUGAACGCUGGCGGCAUGCCUUACACAUGCAAGUCGAACGGCAGCACGGGUGCUUGCACCUGGUGGCGAGUGGCGAACGGGUGAGUAAUAUAUCGGAACGUACCUUAUUGUGGGGGAUAACGCAGCGAAAGCUGUGCUAAUACCGCAUAAUCCCUAAGGGGGAAAGCGGGGGACCGUAAGGCCUCGCGCAAUUAGAGCGGCCGAUACCUGAUUAGCUAGUUGGUGAGGUAAAGGCUCACCAAGGCAACGAUCAGUAGCUGGUCUGAGAGGACGAUCAGCCACACGGGGACUGAGACACGGCCCAGACUCCUACGGGAGGCAGCAGUGGGGAAUUUUGGACAAUGGGGGCAACCCUGAUCCAGCAAUGCCGCGUGAGUGAAGAAGGCCUUCGGGUUGUAAAGCUCUUUUGUCAGGGAAGAAACAGCAGCUCUAACACAGUAUGCGAAUGACGGUACCUGAAGAAUAAGCACCGGCUAACUACGUGCCAGCCGCCGCAGUAA